AUAGAAAUAUAAACCGGGCAGUGGUGGCACACACCUUUAAUCCCAGCGCUUGAGAGACAGAGGCAGGUGGAUUUCUGA
This 78-nucleotide microRNA precursor is filed under the name Mus caroli (Ryukyu mouse). Its description in RNAcentral is "miRNA (MGP_CAROLIEiJ_G0008318.1)". The record is from RNAcentral. Lineage: Eukaryota; Metazoa; Chordata; Mammalia; Rodentia; Muridae.